RNAcentral lists this long non-coding RNA (2083 nucleotides) under Hordeum vulgare. Its description in RNAcentral is "long non-coding RNA (HVUL_LNC014406)". Lineage: Eukaryota; Viridiplantae; Streptophyta; Magnoliopsida; Poales; Poaceae. The record is from RNAcentral.
UCCCGUAUUAGGGGAGGUUCUUAUUCUUUGGUUAAAUUUACCGGCCUUUUCUCCUUGCUCUUUGGGCAAGAAACGAUGUCUCGGAUUCUAUUACGAAAAGUUAUAACAUAUUUGACACUAUAGACAUACAAAAAAGAGAUUGUGCGAAUAUGACAACGAUGACAUGUGUAAGCCACUAUCUCUACACGCCGGCAUAGGAGAGCAUUUGCAUCCUCUAUUGAACUUUAUAAAACCCUAGCACUUUGUAAUUCGAAACCAUGUUUUGUGGUACCUUUGCUAAACUGAAAAUAACAACUAACGUAAUAUAUAUACUAGACUCGUUUAGGGAAAAAGCCACAACCCAAUCACACGCAUGCUAUCAUUCAUGCAGGCAAACAACUGCCAUGAUUGUAAGCGCUGCCUAGCUUUUUCCCAAUGCCUACAAUUCCAAUACAUAAAAUUACAACCUUACAUGCACCGCGUCCAUACAUCCAUAUGGAUACACACCAUCUAACACAUGUUUCAUCUAUAUAUAUCAUUUCUAGUAACUUUUCAACAACAUACAUAGUAGAGUAGUUGUAUAUAUACCACUCCAGUAGAUAGUGGACUUGGGCAUGUUGCUCUGUUAGCGGUGGUGUAAAGUGUGGUGGUUGAUAUUUGAGAUGCUUUCUUAAAUGUUUUCAUAGGACAACUUCCUAAAAAGUAGAAUGAAUGCCAAAGAUAUUAUUUACAACUUUUAUGAAAAUUAAUGUGAAUGUGCGACACGUCACAUAAUCCAUGGAUAUAUAGAAAAACAAUAUAUAACUACACAAUCACCCCCUACAAAUUAGUUUGUGUUUGUCUUCACAUGCAGGACGUCAUCUUGCAUUAGUUGUCUAGCUGCUCCAUAUUCAACCUUACCAUCCAUUAUCUUUAUAUAACUUCAUCAAACUAUUUCGGAAGCCCGUGGCAACGCACGAGCAUUCUACCAGUUAGUUUUCUUGCCAUCAUGUCACAUGGAAACUAGCAUCUUCUUUUUGCAUUAACUUGUUUUGGGUGGGAUUUACUGAUUUGGCACUCACAAUUAUGAUAUUGCUUGAGUUGCGGUGAGGGUAACUACUUAUUUAUCAUCCCGGUUCAACAACCAAAUGCAGAAUUUACCAAGUAGCACAAUCUCUUAACUUAAACAUUGAUCUUACUCGAGUAGUUUUCUUACUUAAUUUUGGCAUGAGUGUGAAUAUCCAUCUUUAUAUAUCAUAAAUCUCACUCCUAAUAUGUCGUCCUAAGUGCAGUUUAUAAAACUGCAACCAAUGCAUCAAGACAUCGAAUUAACUAUCCAACCAACCUUUGUUUUGAAAGGUCAAGAUUAUAAAUCACGUGUUUCUCCUUCUGGAAUCAACAUCUGNNNNNNNNNNNNNNCUCCUUCUGGAAUCAACAUCUGUUACUACAAGAAUACCUCCUCAUAAAGUAACUAUGUGGAUACCUAACUUACUCUAGUUUUUCAUAAUUUCGACAACAUCUUCCUAAAUGCUCACUCUGUCCUCAAAUAGGCGGCAUAUACAUUGAGUGAAAAAGUCAGUGUUUUUUAAGUUUGCCCAAGCAUAUAUACAAAUCAUUAAGAUAAUCAAUACCAAAUCAAUAUUAACAUACUAUCCACCGUUAGAGAUAUUAUUGUAACAUAUUUAUUUAAUAUUACAGUUGUUCAUAGCUUCUUAUACAUAUUUUGUCAAACUAAUAAAUAAUUGAAUUUAUACACCACAAUGUGAAGAUGGAGGGAGUAACAUAAAAGGUUGCAACAUGUAAUCAACAUUGUACCUGAUCUCUAGGAUUUUGACAAUCGACCACAAGCAUGCAUGCGUACAUGCAUAUAGGCAAACAACUACAUUGUUACAUGCAUAUAGCCAAACGGUCGUUGUUGUCCCCAAUUGUCAUCCAAGACAUGGCCCAAGAUCUAACCAUCCUGACCGAACCUCCACACACACCUUGCUCACACCAAUCAACAUCGCCGGGGGGAGGACGAAAAUGGUGUGAUCUCAAUCCACGCCAUCGCCUCGCAUCACCAACCAAACAUCUAGACUGAGUCCUAAGGACAAUUGAAGCUACACACCAAACUCCAAAGUUGUAG